CGCCGCUAGACCUCGUCGCCGGCCGUCGUCGUUCGCCGUUUGGUUCGAGGGUGGGUACCGUUGGGUUCGUCUCGUCGUCCUCUACGUGUUCUUGUCCUCCAAAGUCGCAGCCGACCAUCCAAUCUCCGGCGAGGUCGCCAUCUUGGUUCGGCCAUUGAUGAGGUCAUCAUCAUGACGUCAUCAUCGUUUUUUUCUUUUUCCUGUUUUUCUAAUAGAUUAAAUCUUCGGAAAUUCAUAACUAAAUCAUCGUAACUCGGUUUUGAGUGGUUCAAGUUGCUAAAUUCAUCUAAAAUCAUGAUCUACAUGUUUGUUUACUUUAUAUGUACUGUUUAUUUGGUUUUUAUUAGUCUUUUUCUUCGUUUUGCGUGUUAGUUUGUCGUUUCCGUCGUUGCGAAGGUUCGUGAGUGCGCCGGAAGUAUUCAAGAAGAUUAAUUGAAGACCGAUUAUUGCAAGGCAAGUCACACAGAUCCUAAACACAAUCCUUUGAGCAUGUUGAUCCUAUAUUUAAAUUCUCUAUUUAUUUCAACUGUGCAUUUAUUUUCGAAUGUCACCGGGUGGUGUGAACCUAUUCCUUUGUUAUGGCCAAUUUGCAUUGAUUACUUUAUUCCUUGAUACCUUGGGUAACAAAUUGAUUAGCUUGAACCUUAUAUAUUGGUUUGGUUCAGCUAAAUGCUAUGUAUAUAUAAUUGCUUAGCCAUGCUUAGAAACAUUAUCACAUAAUUGGGAUAACUAAUGUUACACUAUCACUUAUGAUUAUAUUUAAUGGUAGCUCACGAUGUUUAAUCGUGUUAUGAUAAUUAAUUGAUAACUAAAACUUGACAAUGGUGGGUUGUGAGCACAUGGUUUUGAAGGUCGUGCUCAUGACAAUUAAGGACCGGUUCACGAGCUACUGUUGUGAAAUAUUAACCGUACCAACCACAAGCCAGCAUGGGCAACGGCUUUACCUUCUGUAUAGCAUGAUUCAUUGCGGGGCACCAGACUGAGAAGCGGCGAGAAGUCCGUGGGGGUCGCUGGGGAGUCCAUGCCUCUGGUUAUAUUUAUAGAGGGGGUGAUUAUGAUCCAGGAAUGGUGCACUGUGGUGAGUUGUGUUGUGCAAAGGGUAUUGUCACAGCCUCUAUUCGGGUACUUUCCAGUAUCGCGACGCAUGGUAGACAUGAUGAUGAGGCUGUGUCUUGUGGGUACAGUGGUACACCUCUGGCCAGAGUAAAACUAUUCGAAUAGCCGUGCCCGCGGUUAUGGGCGGGUUGAGCAAUGUUUUUCGUGAUUAGUCUCACACCUCUCACAAUAAUUAUGGAUGUUAUACCUGGUAAUAAUUUGCUUAGCUCCUGGUUUGGAGUUAGAUCUGUACAGCCGGGUAUGGUUGUUCAGGAUGGUUGGGCCUGUGCAGCAUGGGUGUGUUGUUCAGUGUUGAUUAAAAUUUUUAAUUAAUUACUCUACUGUUUUACUACUCUUAACUCUUUGCUAAAUGCUGCUUUCGCAAAUGAGCCUAUAUUAUGCCAUCCUUUGGUAUCCUUGUGCACUUGCAUAUUUGCUGUGUGGCUUGUUGAGUAUGUCAUAUGCUCAUUCUUGCAAUAAUCAAUCAACCUCAGUUGAAGAUAAAGGAUCCAGAAGGAGAAGACGUUUGGCUUAUACCCCAGUUGAGUUGCCUGUGGGAGUGGAGCUGAAGCCAUCGCUAGACCGUUAAUUCCGCUGCAGUUUUCUUUUCUUUUGAAAGUAUGUAACACUAUUAUUGAUGAUUCUGUAUAUUAAAUUGUCAGUUUGUGUACCUCGGCUGAUUCCUGGACGAGGAUUUUAUGCACAAAUAAGUUCGGAAAUUAC
Molecule: long non-coding RNA, 1818 nt
Filed under: Oryza sativa (Asian cultivated rice)
Lineage: Eukaryota; Viridiplantae; Streptophyta; Magnoliopsida; Poales; Poaceae
Description: long non-coding RNA (OSAT_LNC001341)
Source: RNAcentral